This is an RNA transcript of Sapajus apella (tufted capuchin), 5170 nucleotides long. RefSeq lists it as uncharacterized. Lineage: Eukaryota; Metazoa; Chordata; Mammalia; Primates; Cebidae. The transcript is spliced from 4 exons. The record is from RefSeq and is a predicted model, not a curated record.
GCCUCCCCUCCCCUCCCCACCUUUCCCCUGUCCCUCAGCUGAAAUCCUCUGCUCUCCCCGGUCCUCCGCCCCGCCCGGCCACCUCUUACCCUGUGCGCGAGGCCCCCUCACCCACUCCUUGUCCUGUCCACUCAGAAGCGGCGCCCCGCCCCUCCUCCAUUCUACUCCUGGUCUCUGGUUUUGGAACAGGGACGCGACACCGCAAAGUGCUUGACCCACACAAGGAAAACUCAGGAAUAGUCCCCUGUGGUUGUCCCCUCCCCUCUCAACAUGUCGGCCACAAAAGCUCAGGAUCGCACCAGCAGGAUGCUGUUAUCGGAGCGACGUUGGACUUUCCAAUCGUCCUCACUCACUCCAGACCUGUCCUGUGAAUUGUGAUGGGGAGGCUGGGCCCUGGGAAGCUUUACCGCGGCUUUUAGAAUCUCACUCCUCUGGGCCAGCGGGGAUGAGGUUGCGCUGUGCUCCGGUAGUACCGAUGGCGUGACGGGUCCCGCGCGGAGCAGCGACGCCGAGGGUCGGGGCGCAAGGCCUCACGCGGGCGUCCUCCUUGCAGCUGCGCGGCCAUCCCGCUCCUCCGCCCCGAGCCAUGAAUCUCAGCAGCACCAGCAGCACGGAGGAAAAGGCAGUGAAGACGGUGCUCUGGGGCUGCGAGCUCAGUCAGGAGAGGCGGACUUGGACCUUCAGACCCCAGCCGGAGGGGAAGCAGGGCUGCAGGCUGUUGCUUCAUACGAUUUGCUUAGGGGAGAAAACCAAAGAGGAGGUGCAUCGCGUGGAGAUCCUGCCUCCAGGAAACCGAGAGGACAAGAAGACGCAGCCGGUCACCAUUGCCUCGCUCCAGGCCUCAGUCCUCCCCAUGGUGCGCCUUUCCCUGCCGGCUGGAAAACUGCAACCAGCCCCAGCCUCACACUCACCCUUUGGCGGGAAUGCACACACACGAGGGUACAUUCACCCUAUAGAAGUCAGCUGUGUCAGGGAGGCAGCACAGCCCAUGCAAAGAGCUGGGGUCUAGCCCAGCUCACCCCUUCCCAGAGCUGUGUUACCUUGGACAAGUUAAGCUGUCUGCAAAAAUUACACUUCAAACCAUGGGUCCCCCACCACCCGGCCAAGGACCAGAACCCUUCCGUGGCCUAUUAGGAACUUGAUGGCACAGCAGGAGGUGAGCAGCUAGCUAGCUGGCAUUAUGGCUGAGCCCAGCAUCUGAUCAGAUCAGAAUGACAUUAGAUUCUUUUGGGAGCAUGAACCCUAUUGUAAGCUGUGCAUGCAAGGGGUCUAGGUUGCAUGCUUCUCAUGAGAAUCUAAUGCCUGAACCGUGAUGGAGCAGUUUCAUCCAGUCCUGUGGUUUUCAAGACCAUCUAAACAAAGACUCAGAAACCUAUUUCUGUAAACCCACCCUCUCUUGAGCUCCAAGUCCUAUAUCCAACUCUGUGUCUUUAAUAGAUAUAUAAUAAAUAUCCCAAACUUAACAUGUCUGGGAAAAAAAAAAAAAAAAGGAAUCUCACCCCUCUGUGGUCAUCCAAGCUUUCCAAAAAGGAAAAAAAAAAUCUUUUCUUUCUUUUUUCUUUUCUUUUCUUUCUUUCUUUCUCUCUCUCCUUCCCUCCCUCCUUCCUUCCUUCCUUCCUUCCUUCUUUCCUUCCUUCCUUCCUUCCUUCCUCUUUUCUUUCUUUCUCUCCCUUUCUUUUGGACAUGGUCUUGCUCGCUUACUGAAACCUUUUGGUCUCAGGUGAUCCUCCUACCUCAGCCUCCCAAGUAGCUGGGACUACACGUGGAGCGCCAUCACUCUCGGCUAAAUUUUGUGUUUUCUUGUAGAGAUGGGGCUUCACUAUGUUGCCCAGGCUGGUCUUUAAUUCCUCGGCUCAAGCGAUCCGCCCGCCCGGCCUUCCAAAGUGCUGAGAUUAUAGGCGUGAGGUACUGCGCUGCCCAUACUUGGAUUUUACAUGCUCAGGAGCAAAAAUCUGGUCCCGAAGUUGCUGUACCCAGUGUCAAAGAAGGGCAUAUUCACGUUGUGAGAGAUGUGCGGGAGAAAUUCCAGGGAUUUUUCUCUCCUGCUUCGCAGGUAGCAGUGUUGACACAGCUCGGAUGGCCACAAGGGGGUUGAGAUUCUAAAAGCCCAGGGAAACUUUCCUGGGGCCCAUACAAUUCAUAGGACAGGUUUGGAGUGAGUAAGGACUAUGUCCAUAAUAUGUGAAUUCCUGCCAGUGCCGGGAGAGAGCAUGGGGUUGGAGCUUCGCCCACCUCUGCCGCGCUGAUUGGGUCUGGACAAAGGCAUGGACCUUCGCCGAGGCUUCUCAGGCAAGCUCCGACCUCCCCGGUGCUUCCGGGUGAAAUCCUCGGUGGUCUGAACAGUUGAGGCAGGCGACGAUCCAUCCAUGAGCGCUGUUGGACCAGUGUGGACGCGUCCUGGAGUUCGGGUCGAAUCCUGAGUGGAGGCUGCAGCGCGGACUCUCGGCUUCCCGUAGAUGGCGGAGGGGCGUAGGGCGCUUCAGCACCACGGGGUGGACAGCACCCUGGAGGCAGCAGCGGAAACCUGCAGCCGAGGUCGCUGCCCGGCUCCCCAGACUACUUCCGCGGUCUUUACCCCGGAAUAGAGGCAGAGGGACAGUCCCAGCGGGGCCGAGCUUCGGGUCCAGGACCUCACAGCCCACAGGCUGUGCGAAGCCUCGGCCUGCGCUCAGGGGUUCACGCAGAGCUUUGGGUCAGAGAUGAGGUGGAGGGAGCUGCGGGGGAAGGCUGGCGAUUCAUCCAGCAGCGCGCGGCCCGGGUCAGGAGACUGAACCUUGGUCACGCGCCUGGAGCCUCCUUGGAAUUCCAGUGUAGACACCGUCGCGGCUGCUAGUUGCAGCCGACCCUCAGGUCACAGCCGGCCCAGACUUGCAGCCUCAACUGCAACCUCCCGCCCCAGGUUAAAAGACAACAUAUGACUUCUGGGUUGCUUCAAAAAAAAAAAAAAAAGCAACAUAACGACAUCCCGAGGGGCAAUGGGGUACAGAGGGACUGUUCUAGGGCAGCGAGGCAGAGCAGUCCCUCUGCGCAACGCUAUGACAGCGACGACACCGUGAAGCGUUUACAGGAAGCAGGACCAUGGACUGUUUCUAGGAAGCCCGUAGUAAUUAAGUGGAAUUAAGAUUCCAGGGCGUUUUACACGCGGUUCUUUCAGAGCCUUUCAGCAGCCGAGGAAGGUGGGCCCGAGCAUCAGCUGUCAUCCACGAAGGCGCUCAGAGGGCAACCGACCCCUCUACAUCACACAGCCCAGGGGCUCUGAAGCCGGGACUCGAAUACAGGUUUCUGCACCCCAGAUCUGCUGCUCGUCCUCGGCACCUGCUGCCUCCCGGGAGCCCGUCACCUGCAGGACAGAGGGCUUCCCUGCAGCCGCGCUGUUCGCUGUGCCUCCGGCAUCAGUCGUGGGCGCCUCAGUCCCAGUCCAAGAGCGGCCUCGGACUGAACGGACGUAGACUGGGGCUGGAGACUCGUAGGGAUGGUGGCGGCAAUUACCGACCUGGGAGAGCGAGCGCACCUGGCGCAGGGACCUUGGCCAGGCGGGACCACCUGAUCCACUCGGAAUGUGGGUGGGGCUCCUGGUUAGCGACUUGUUUAUAAACAACGCCCCAUCCCUUGAGCUGGCGUUCAAGGCUCAUCACCACUGUUCCACUUAUUCAGAGCCCGUCCAUUUCACAGGCAGUCCCCGGGAGCCGGCUGGGUUCCACCUUUUGGCUGUUUGGCUGUUUCAGCUUCCUGAAUUUCUGAUCUGGCCUACCCACCGCAGCCUUCUGAAGGAGACUGGCGGGACACAAGGGCCUGCUGUGCUCCUUGGGGAUGUGACCAGAGCUCUGAAGCACAGGCUGUCCAAAUGUGCUCUUCGCUUGGCCUCGAGUGUGGCAUCCUCCCUCAGCUUGUAUGUCUGGGCUUCCUGUUCUGAGGCAGGUAACUGGACAUUGCUGAGGUGCAGCUGCUCAGCUGGGACCACAGGAGGCAGAAGCAGAGGGUGAGAAACAGGAGAGGACAUAUAGUGGGCACCUUCUCAUCAAGGACUGGAGCCUAGCCUGGGAGGCCUCUUUCCUGCUAAAUAUGAUCACAAUAACAGAAUAAUAACAGUAGCUCCCAAUUCUUGCCCAUUUACUGUAUGUCUCUGAUAGGCAUGCUGCAAGUAAUUUAUAUGCAUCAUUUCAUUUAAUCCUUUCAGCAAUCUGUGAGGUAUGUGCCGUGAUGAUGUUCAUUACACACAUGGGGCUGGUAGAAGUUAAAUUACCUAGACCACACUGUCAGAAAAAGCUAGGAUUCCAACACAGCCUAUCUGACUUCAGAUGCCUCUCAGAUAUGUUCCUGGUCUUGCAGGGGUUUUUCUUGGUGGUGCUUCAAAGCCUCAUGGAGCAUGACCUCUCUGAUGACCUCAAGACAAAACUGCAAAAGAACCCCAGCAGGGUAUCAGGCUGGAGGGGGGUGGGGUGCAUGCGUAGAGGGUGGUUGGGUGCAUUCUGGAUGAACCAGAGUGCCCAGAGGAACUCCCCCAAACUUCCAAGGUCCUCUCAGGGUUGGACAGCCAGGAGAAGGUGGCUUCCUCAAGAAAAGAGGUACUGCUGGAGCCUGUCUGGACUGACUCCUUUCAGAUCUGUGAGUAGAAGAUAGCCAGUGGCUGAGCUGGGAGUUCAAGAGUAGCCCAGGAACAUGCAGGCCUACAAGUCUGUCUCCAUCCUGUUUGCUGGUGAGAGCAGCUUGAUGAGAGUACAGCUCCCCACUGGCAACCUGAGAGUCUGGUGGAAGUGACAUAGCUCAUAACUGGGGGGGCAAGGACCAUGCCUGUUUCUCAUAGGGGACCCAGCACCAGCGCAGUGCCAGAUAUGCAGUGCACCAUAUGUAUUUGUGGAUAAACAAUCCCUAUUUUUCUUUUUCUUAUGCCUCCGUUUCCCCAGUGAUGGUGUCCUGGACUGAAGAUCGUGGCUGGAGUGCAUGUUACCGCCGACAAAGCUCAGAACACCAGGCAGGGCAAGACCAGCGACAUCAGACUAAGAUAUAAUGGCACUGAUCCUGGAUUUGCAGGGCCAGAAUAAACAAGAGACUGUAGAGACUGUUUUGUCCCAUUCAUUCUUUUAUAGGCAGAACACAGACCCAGAGAAAAGAGAUAACUUGUCCCAAGCUACCCCGUGAAGGAGGAGGGAUAAACAGUGUGCUUCUAGAA